Long non-coding RNA from Bolinopsis microptera, 257 nucleotides. RefSeq lists it as uncharacterized. NCBI's taxonomy places the organism in Eukaryota, Metazoa, Ctenophora, Tentaculata, Lobata, Bolinopsidae. The record is from RefSeq and is a predicted model, not a curated record. The transcript is spliced from 3 exons.
AAAGACAGUAUCAAAUCACUUAAAAAUCUUCAGAAAUGAACUUUAAUAAAUUAAUUAACUCAAAGUACUAAGAUAGUGUUAGAAAAGUAAAAACUUAUUUACCAGACGCGGCCUCACAGAGGGAAUAUUAAUUAAAACAUGAAACCCGUACUAAAAUUUAUUGAGGCAUAGUUAGUCAGUUUGACUUUGUUGUGAAUGGAUUAUUAACUUCUAAAAUCUUAAAACGUAAGUGCUCUUCACCAAUGCUUAGUAAGUAC